Molecule: long non-coding RNA, 1325 nt
Filed under: Oryctolagus cuniculus (rabbit)
Lineage: Eukaryota; Metazoa; Chordata; Mammalia; Lagomorpha; Leporidae
Description: lncRNA (ENSOCUG00000033799.1)
Source: RNAcentral
GACUGCAUGGGUGCGCUGGAGAAAACAGAGGAGCAGAGGAUAGCCAUUCGAGGGGACUGAUGGGGACAGCGGUCAUCAAGGCCCUGGGGCCCUGGGUACCGGAAAUGGGCAUCGGAACCGUGUCCCGUCCCCUUGCUGUAAACAACACAGCAAUGGACAUCUCGCACAUGCGGGGGGCAGGCUCAGGCUGGGACAGGAGACCCGCAGGGCCGGCAGCCCCCCCUGCCCAGCGUGGGCCCUGUUUCUGCUCUCUCACCCCAGGCUGCCCGUGCUGGACACGGCGUUCGCAGCUGGAGAGCCUCACCCCACCCCGCUGGACUCCACCGACAGCAGCCGCUUCCCCCGCUGGUUCAUCCUGGGCCACCUGGAGACGCGCCAGUGCGAGCUGGCCUCCACCAUGCUCACGGCCGCCAAGGGAGACCCCAAGUGGCUGCACGCGGUGCUGGGCUCCAUCCAGCAGAACAUCCACUCGCCAGCGCUGCUCUUCAAGCUGGCGCAGGACGCCUGCAAGACGGCCACGCCGGCCAGCGCACCACCGGACGCCACGCUGCUGGGCAUCGCCCUGGAGCUCGGCCUGCAGGUGAGGCCAGGGUGGGCGUGGGAGGAGGCGCGGCCUGGGGCGGGGCCUGAGCUGGAGAGGGGGCGUGGCCCGGCUUGUGGCCACAAGGGGGGGGCCUGGGGCUUGCCUGCUAUUGGUUAAGGACCCUGGGUGGGUGGGGCUGAAGCCAAGGAUGGGCAGAACCUGCCAAUCAGAAGCUUUUGUGGGGGCAGGGCCUGAAGGGGGAAAAAACCACCCCCACCCCUGCUCUCGAGGAGGCGGGGCUAACGCUGAAGAACAGGGCGGGGGCUGGAGAGGCCUGUAGGUGAAGGGUCAACUGUGGGGGCGGGGGGCGGGACCUGCAGGGGCCCAAGCACUUGAGCUGUCACCUGCGGCCUCCCAGGUGCGCAUCAGCAGGGAGCUGGGAUUGGGAGCAGAGCCGGGACUUGAACUUCCGGCACUCCGAUCUGCGAUGCGGGUAUCCCAAACAGUGGCUACACCAGACCCAUUCCAUUUUUUUUUUUUUUUUUUUUAAUUUUUUGACAGGCAGAGUGGACAGUGAGAGAGAGAGACAGAGAGAAAGGUCUUCCUUUGCCGUUGGUUCACCCUCCAAUGGCCGCCGCGGCCAGCGCGCUGCGGCCGGCGCACCGCGCUGAUCCGAUGGCAGGAGCCAGGAGCCAGGUGCUUUUCCUGGUCUCCCGUGGGGUGCAGGGCCCAAGCACCUGGGCCAUCCUCCACUGCACUCCCUGGCCACAGCAGAGGGCUGGCCUGGAAGAGGGGCAACCGG